UACGUAGGGGGCAAGCGUUAUCCGGAUUUACUGGGUGUAAAGGGAGCGUAGACGGCAGUGCAAGUCUGAUGUGAAAGGCAUGGGCUCAACCCGUGGACUGCAUUGGAAACUGUACAGCUGGAGUGCCGGAGGGGUAAGCGGAAUUCCUAGUGUAGCGGUGAAAUGCGUAGAUAUUAGGAGGAACACCAGUGGCGAAGGCGGCUUACUGGACGGUAACUGACGUUGAGGCUCGAAAGCGUGGGGAG
This 245-nucleotide ribosomal RNA is filed under the name uncultured Blautia sp. RNAcentral's name for it is "partial 16S ribosomal RNA". It matches the Rfam family "Bacterial small subunit ribosomal RNA", at positions 524 to 768 of the family's 1533-position model. The record is from RNAcentral. Lineage: Bacteria; Bacillati; Bacillota; Clostridia; Lachnospirales; Lachnospiraceae.